RNAcentral lists this ribosomal RNA (497 nucleotides) under uncultured bacterium. Its description in RNAcentral is "partial 16S ribosomal RNA". It matches the Rfam family "Bacterial small subunit ribosomal RNA", at positions 28 to 507 of the family's 1533-position model. The record is from RNAcentral.
GAUGAACGCUGGCGGCGUGCCUAAUACAUGCAAGUCGAGCGAACGGACGAGAAGCUUGCUUUUCUGAUGUUAGCGGCGGACGGGUGAGUAACACGUGGAUAACCUACCUAUAUGACUGGGAUAACUUCGGGAAACCGGAGCUAAUACCGGAUUAUAUUUUGAACCGCAUGGUUCAAAAGUGAAAGACGGUCUUGCUGUCACUUAUAGAUGGAUCCGCGCUGCAUUAGCUAGUUGGUAAGGUAACGGCUUACCAAGGCAACGAUGCAUAGCCGACCUGAGAGGGUGAUCAGCCACACUGGAACUGAGACACGGUCCAGACUCCUACGGGAGGCAGCAGUAGGGAAUCUUCCGCAAUGGGCGAAAGCCUGACGGAGCAACGCCGCGUGAAUGAUGAAGGUCUUCGGAUCGUAAAACUCUGUUAUUAGGGAAGAACAUAUGUGUAAGUAACUGUGCACAUCUUGACGGUACCUAAUCAGAAAGCCACGGCUAACUACGUG